This 249-nucleotide long non-coding RNA is filed under the name Capsicum annuum. Its description in RNAcentral is "long non-coding RNA (CANN_LNC016397)". Lineage: Eukaryota; Viridiplantae; Streptophyta; Magnoliopsida; Solanales; Solanaceae. The record is from RNAcentral.
AAUAUAAACACCUUUAAACCCAUAUCGUUAUGUAUUUCUAUCUUCCCUGCAUUAGGAGUGAUUUGAUAUUCCACUAGAAUACGUUUGAUGGUUAAAUCCACACUUAAGUGAGAUGCCAAAACAUCGUGUAACUCAAUGAAUGUUGCUGAUGUGCUCAACAGUAUAGCAUCAGUGACAUAUUCUUCGAAGUUCUUUUCGUACGUCCAUCGACCAGAGUGCUUCACAAGGACUGGUAUGCUUCCCAUUUCU